GGGAAGAUGUGUGACGAAUUGCACUUCGCCACUGGGUUUUGGAGAGGACUACUUGUUAGCCUUUUACCUUUUAACUAUGGCCCCUGUGACUUAUUUUGUUCUAAGGAACUAUUUCUGCCUAUUGGGAUUGUGGACAAUGGCUCUUUAAACUUUCUAAGUAGUCGAAAUGGCACUUCGGAUAGAGCCGAAGGGUAGAAGUCGGCGCCAUUCAAAAAUUCG
Molecule: non-coding RNA, 219 nt
Organism: Pelobates cultripes (western spadefoot toad)
Lineage: Eukaryota; Metazoa; Chordata; Amphibia; Anura; Pelobatidae
Source: the annotation of a GenBank genome assembly